RNAcentral lists this transfer RNA (72 nucleotides) under Clostridia bacterium. Its description in RNAcentral is "tRNA-Glu". It matches the Rfam family "tRNA". Rfam says of the family: Transfer RNA (tRNA) molecules are approximately 80 nucleotides in length. Their secondary structure includes four short double-helical elements and three loops (D, anti-codon, and T loops). Further hydrogen bonds mediate the characteristic L-shaped molecular structure. tRNAs have two regions of fundamental functional importance: the anti-codon, which is responsible for specific mRNA codon recognition, and the 3' end, to which the tRNAs corresponding amino acid is attached (by aminoacyl-tRNA synthetases). tRNAs cope with the degeneracy of the genetic code in two manners: having more than one tRNA (with a specific anti-codon) for a particular amino acid; and 'wobble' base-pairing, i.e. permitting non-standard base-pairing at the 3rd anti-codon position. Lineage: Bacteria; Bacillati; Bacillota; Clostridia. The record is from RNAcentral. RNAcentral also lists the same sequence under 1 other name.
GGUCCGUUGGUCAAGCGGCUAAGACGACGCCCUCUCACGGCGUAAACAGGAGUUCGAUUCUCCUACGGAUCA